Molecule: ribosomal RNA, 402 nt
Filed under: bacterium
Lineage: Bacteria
Description: partial 16S ribosomal RNA
Rfam family: Bacterial small subunit ribosomal RNA
Source: RNAcentral
UGGGGAAUUUUGCACAAUGGGGGAAACCCUGAUGCAGCGACGCCGCGUGAUUUAGAAGGCCUUCGGGUUGUAAAAAUCUUUUCUAUGGGAAGAAAAUGACAGUACCAUAGGAAUAAGGACCGGCUAAUUACGUGCCAGCAGCCGCGGUAAUACGUAAGGUCCGAGCGUUUUCCGGAAUCAUUGGGCGUAAAGGGUACGUAGGCGGGUAAGCAAGUUAGAAGUGAAAUCCUAUAGCUCAACUAUAGUAAGCUUUUAAAACUGCUCAUCUUGAGGUAGGGAAGGGAAAGUGGAAUUCCUAGUGUAGCGGUGAAAUGCGCAGAUAUUAGGAGGAAUACCGGUGGCGAAGGCGACUUUCUGGCCAUAACCUGACGCUGAGGUACGAAAGCGUGGGUAGCAAACAGG